AGACCCGAAACCCGGUGAUCUAGCCAUGGGCAGGUUGAAGGUUGGGUAACACUAACUGGAGGACCGAACCGACUAAUGUUGAAAAAUUAGCGGAUGACCUGUGGCUGGGGGUGAAAGGCCAAUCAAACCGGGAGAUAGCUGGUUCUCCCCGAAAGCUAUUUAGGUAGCGCCUCGUGAAUUCAUCUCCGGGGGUAGAGCACUGUUUCGGCUAGGGGGCCAUCCCGGCUUACCAACCCGAUGCAAACUGCGAAUACCGGAGAAUGUUAUCACGGGAGACACACGGCGGGUGCUAACGUCCGUCGUGAAGAGGGAAACAACCCAGACCGCCAGCUAAGGUCCCAAAGUCAUGGUUAAGUGGGAAACGAUGUGGGAAGGCCCAGACAGCCAGGAUGUUGGCUUAGAAGCAGCCAUCAUUUAAAGAAAGCGUAAUAGCUCACUGGUCGAGUCGGCCUGCGCGGAAGAUGUAACGGGGCUAAACCAUGCACCGAAGCUGCGGCAGCGACGCUGAUGCGUUGUUGGGUAGGGGAGCGUUCUGUAAGCCUG
Molecule: ribosomal RNA, 543 nt
Filed under: Salmonella enterica subsp. enterica serovar Thompson
Lineage: Bacteria; Pseudomonadati; Pseudomonadota; Gammaproteobacteria; Enterobacterales; Enterobacteriaceae
Also listed under: 27 other names
Description: partial 23S ribosomal RNA
Rfam family: Bacterial large subunit ribosomal RNA
Source: RNAcentral